This 3034-nucleotide ribosomal RNA is filed under the name Campylobacter jejuni. Its description in RNAcentral is "partial 23S ribosomal RNA". It matches the Rfam family "Bacterial large subunit ribosomal RNA". Lineage: Bacteria; Pseudomonadati; Campylobacterota; Epsilonproteobacteria; Campylobacterales; Campylobacteraceae. The record is from RNAcentral.
AGGUAAGCUACUAAGAGCGAAUGGUGGAUGCCUUGACUGGUAAAGGCGAUGAAGGACGUACUAGACUGCGAUAAGCUACGGGGAGCUGUCAAGAAGCUUUGAUCCGUAGAUUUCCGAAUGGGGCAACCCAAUGUAUAGAGAUAUACAUUACCUAUAUAGGAGCGAACGAGGGGAAUUGAAACAUCUUAGUACCCUCAGGAAAAGAAAUCAAUAGAGAUUGCGUCAGUAGCGGCGAGCGAAAGCGCAAGAGGGCAAACCCAGUGCUUGCACUGGGGGUUGUAGGACUGCAAUGUGCAAGAGCUGAGUUUAGCAGAACAUUCUGGAAAGUAUAGCCAUAGAGGGUGAUAGUCCCGUAUGCGAAAAACAAAGCUUAGCUAGCAGUAUCCUGAGUAGGGCGGGACACGAGGAAUCCUGUCUGAAUCCGGGUCGACCACGAUCCAACCCUAAAUACUAAUACCAGAUCGAUAGUGCACAAGUACCGUGAGGGAAAGGUGAAAAGAACUGAGGUGAUCAGAGUGAAAUAGAACCUGAAACCAUUUGCUUACAAUCAUUCAGAGCACUAUGUAGCAAUACAGUGUGAUGGACUGCCUUUUGCAUAAUGAGCCUGCGAGUUGUGGUGUCUGGCAAGGUUAAGCAAACGCGAAGCCGUAGCGAAAGCGAGUCUGAAUAGGGCGCUUAGUCAGAUGCUGCAGACCCGAAACGAAGUGAUCUAUCCAUGAGCAAGUUGAAGCUAGUGUAAGAACUAGUGGAGGACUGAACCCAUAGGCGUUGAAAAGCCCCGGGAUGACUUGUGGAUAGGGGUGAAAGGCCAAUCAAACUUCGUGAUAGCUGGUUCUCUCCGAAAUAUAUUUAGGUAUAGCGUUGUGUCGUAAUAUAAGGGGGUAGAGCACUGAAUGGGCUAGGGCAUACACCAAUGUACCAAACCCUAUCAAACUCCGAAUACCUUAUAUGUAAUCACAGCAGUCAGGCGGCGAGUGAUAAAAUCCGUCGUCAAGAGGGAAACAACCCAGACUACCAGCUAAGGUCCCUAAAUCUUACUUAAGUGGAAAACGAUGUGAAGUUACUUAAACAACCAGGAGGUUGGCUUAGAAGCAGCCAUCCUUUAAAGAAAGCGUAAUAGCUCACUGGUCUAGUGAUUUUGCGCGGAAAAUAUAACGGGGCUAAAGUAAGUACCGAAGCUGUAGACUUGCACACAACUUAGAUUAUUUAAGUUUAGAAUAUGAGAAACUAAGUUAUAUGUUUAGUUAUAUUUUUACUGAUUUUUAUAGAGUAAAGAUAGAAAUAAAACUUAGUAAAAUCAGUAAAAAUAUUCUUAGGCUAAAGUUAAGUAGUUUAAGUUGUGUGCAAGUGGUAGGAGAGCGUUCUAUUUGCGUCGAAGGUAUACCGGUAAGGAGUGCUGGAGCGAAUAGAAGUGAGCAUGCAGGCAUGAGUAGCGAUAAUUAAUGUGAGAAUCAUUAACGCCGUAAACCCAAGGUUUCCUACGCGAUGCUCGUCAUCGUAGGGUUAGUCGGGUCCUAAGUCGAGUCCGAAAGGGGUAGACGAUGGCAAAUUGGUUAAUAUUCCAAUACCAACAUUAGUGUGCGAUGGAAGGACGCUUAGGGCUAAGGGGGCUAGCGGAUGGAAGUGCUAGUCUAAGGUUGUAGGAGGUUAUACAGGCAAAUCCGUAUAACAAUACUCCGAGAACUGAAAGGCUUUUUGAAGUCUUCGGAUGGAAAGAAGAACCCCUGAUGCCGUCGAGCCAAGAAAAGUUUCUAAGUUUAGCUAAUGUUGCCCGUACCGUAAACCGACACAGGUGGGUGGGAUGAGUAUUCUAAGGCGCGUGGAAGAACUCUCUUUAAGGAACUCUGCAAAAUAGCACCGUAUCUUCGGUAUAAGGUGUGCCUCCCUUUGUAUUAGGAUUUACUCCGAAAGCAAAGAAGGUUACAACAAAGAGUCCCUCCCGACUGUUUACCAAAAACACAGCACUCUGCUAACUCGUAAGAGGAUGUAUAGGGUGUGACGCCUGCCCGGUGCUCGAAGGUUAAUUGAUGGGGUUAGCAUUAGCGAAGCUCUUGAUCGAAGCCCGAGUAAACGGCGGCCGUAACUAUAACGGUCCUAAGGUAGCGAAAUUCCUUGUCGGUUAAAUACCGACCUGCAUGAAUGGCGUAACGAGAUGGGAGCUGUCUCAAAGAGGGAUCCAGUGAAAUUGUAGUGGAGGUGAAAAUUCCUCCUACCCGCGGCAAGACGGAGAGACCCCGUGGACCUUUACUACAGCUUGACACUGCUAUUUGGAUAAGAAUGUGCAGGAUAGGUGGGAGGCUUUGAGUAUAUGACGCCAGUUGUAUAUGAGCCAUUGUUGAGAUACCACUCUUUCUUAUUUGGGUAGCUAACCAGCUUGAGUUAUCCUCAAGUGGGACAAUGUCUGGUGGGUAGUUUGACUGGGGCGGUCGCCUCCCAAAUAAUAACGGAGGCUUACAAAGGUUGGCUCAUAGCGGUUGGAAAUCGCUAGUAGAGUAUAAAGGUAUAAGCCAGCUUAACUGCAAGACAUACAAGUCAAGCAGAGACGAAAGUCGGUCUUAGUGAUCCGGUGGUUCUGUGUGGAAGGGCCAUCGCUCAAAGGAUAAAAGGUACCCCGGGGAUAACAGGCUGAUCUCCCCCAAGAGCUCACAUCGACGGGGAGGUUUGGCACCUCGAUGUCGGCUCAUCGCAUCCUGGGGCUGGAGCAGGUCCCAAGGGUAUGGCUGUUCGCCAUUUAAAGCGGUACGCGAGCUGGGUUCAGAACGUCGUGAGACAGUUCGGUCCCUAUCUGCCGUGGGCGUAAGAAGAUUGAAGAGAUUUGACCCUAGUACGAGAGGACCGGGUUGAACAAACCACUGGUGUAGCUGUUGUUCUGCCAAGAGCAUCGCAGCGUAGCUAAGUUUGGAAAGGAUAAACGCUGAAAGCAUCUAAGCGUGAAGCCAACUCUAAGAUGAAUCUUCUCUAAGCUCUCUAGAAGACUACUAGUUUGAUAGGCUGGGUGUGUAAUGGAUGAAAGUCCUUUAGCUGACCAGUACUA